Molecule: ribosomal RNA, 368 nt
Filed under: Kyklioacalles reinosae
Lineage: Eukaryota; Metazoa; Arthropoda; Insecta; Coleoptera; Curculionidae
Description: eukaryotic LSU rRNA
Rfam family: Eukaryotic large subunit ribosomal RNA
Source: RNAcentral
GCUUAUACUCGACCGUCAGCGGCACGUGCGAUCGCGAAAGCGAUCACGAAGCCCUGACGAGUAGGAGGGUCGCGGCGGUGAGCGCAGAAGGGCUGGCCGCGAGGCCGUCUGGAGCCGCCGUCGGUGCAGAUCUUGGUGGUAGUAGCAAAUACUCCAGCGAGGCCCUGGAGGACUGACGUGGAGAAGGGUUUCGUGUGAACAGCCGUUGCACACGAGUCAGUCGAUCCUAAGCCCUAGGCGAAAGCCGAUGUCGAUGCGGCGUAGCUUUAUUAUAAUAUUAUUUUUUAAAUAACGCACACACCCGUCGGGCGAAAGGGAAUCCGGUUCCUAUUCCGGAACCUGGCAGCGGAACCGUAAAAAAGUCGGGC